UUCUCCUCUCAAAACCCUUUCUUUUUCCCGCAGCCCACCAAACCAGUCUCAGAAAAACGACGAUCUCGAACCCGUUCACCGUUGGAUCGUCGUGAAAUUUGAGUAUCAUGUUCGCAACCCAAUUCCGAACAUUCUCACCGUUGGGAAUUUCAAAAUCAUAUCUGAGCCUAGAGGAAAACCCUUCGCAUUGUAACAUUUUAAUUUCCCGCAGAAACCCAAAAACUGUCUCGGUAAAACUACGAUCCUGAUUUCGUUAGCCGUUGGAUUUCCAUGAAAUUCGGAUAUGUUGUUCGAAAUUCAAUUCCGCACGCUUUCACCGUUGGGAUUUGCGAAAUAAUAUUCGUGGAGGGAGAAAAAGGAAUCGCAUGAAGACAGAAUAAGUGGAGGUUUCAAUCUCUUCUCCGUCUCUUUGACGUUUGGGAAUUCUAUCGAGGAAUAAUUGAAAGAAUUUCAGGGAACCGCUAGAGAUGUUGCUAUCACUUGCUGAAGACACGUGAGUCCGCU
Molecule: long non-coding RNA, 504 nt
Filed under: Glycine max (soybean)
Lineage: Eukaryota; Viridiplantae; Streptophyta; Magnoliopsida; Fabales; Fabaceae
Description: long non-coding RNA (GMAX_LNC001830)
Source: RNAcentral